UACGUAGGGUGCGAGCGUUGUCCGGAAUUAUUGGGCGUAAAGAGCUCGUAGGCGGUUUGUCGCGUCGGGAGUGAAAGUCCAGGGCUUAACUCUGGACUGGCUUCCGAUACGGGCAGACUAGAGGUAUGCAGGGGAGAACGGAAUUCCUGGUGUAGCGGUGAAAUGCGCAGAUAUCAGGAGGAACACCGGUGGCGAAGGCGGUUCUCUGGGCAUUACCUGACGCUGAGGAGCGAAAGUGUGGGGAGCGAACAGG
RNAcentral lists this ribosomal RNA (253 nucleotides) under uncultured bacterium. Its description in RNAcentral is "partial 16S ribosomal RNA". It matches the Rfam family "Bacterial small subunit ribosomal RNA", at positions 524 to 776 of the family's 1533-position model. The record is from RNAcentral.